RNAcentral lists this long non-coding RNA (1076 nucleotides) under Apteryx haastii (Great spotted kiwi). RNAcentral's name for it is "lncRNA (ENSAHAG00000010265.1)". The record is from RNAcentral. Lineage: Eukaryota; Metazoa; Chordata; Aves; Apterygiformes; Apterygidae.
AAAAGCCCGCGUGGUAAUGUGGAGGACUUUCUACCCGGAGCGUGUUUCAAGGUUUUCCACCGCUUUGCUGUGUUUAGGUGCAACUCGCUCCCUUACAGGCAGAAACACGCGUUUUAAGGCUUUGUGCAACUGCGUCCAUUUCCUGCACGCGCACAGCUCUACUUUGCAGCCCAGAAGCCCGCUGGGGAGGAAGGGCCACCUCCCGGCAGCGAGCUGCCCGCAGCACGGCCCAGCGGGGGCCAGGGACAGCGCGCGGCACGAGUCGGGACCCGGCUGGGCGACAAGGGGUGGUGGUGGGGGGGCACGCUUGGCCGGAGCGCGGUGCUGGCGAGCCGGCAGGGUGGUGGCACCGCCAGGGCCAUAAAAAGGGUGGUGACGCGGGCAGGGGACGGGGACCGUUGCCGGGGCAAAGGCCGGCUGCCGACGUCUGCCUGCAUCAGCGCGCCCCGUGCCGGGGUGCUGGGAGCCAGGGCGAGGAGAGCGGCGGUGCGGUGAGUGCCUCGUGCCGGGGGGGGGGGGAACGGGGAGAUGCCUUCGCCGUGGGCACGGUGGACGGCGAGGCGAUAGCGAGGAAGGCAGAGGGAUGGGGGAUUCAUGCCUUCCCCGCUCCAGGCGCAGGGGAAACCUGGGGCGGCGCGCAGGGCUCGGGGCUCGCUCCCGGAAGAGCUCUGCUCAGCGGAGCAGCCGUCCCGAGCAGCCCCGAGCCCUGGUGCCACCGCCGGGACUCCCCUUGCCUCUGGCAGCAUCUCCGUGGGCUGGGAGAGCUGGAGGGACGGCCAGCGCGCCGGUCCCUGCGCCCCCCCGCCCUGCGAAACCCUUUGCUGCUAUCGGCUCGUCUCGGAGCAGCCCGCAGGUCGGUGCCGCCUCGAAGCGCUUAUUUACGGCAUCCACAACAGCCGCUGCAGCUGCAAACUGGCCUCGAAGGCAGGACCAGCGCCUCUCCCUCCGUGUCGGCUGGGUUUGCUCGGAAAGGUCUGGCUUUCCCCUCCUCGGGCUGGGGGCUGAAAGCUCCUCCGGGAGCUGUCGAUGUUCCCCAGGGAGCAGAUCCCUGUGCCGGCUCCCGCAAGCAGACCUAG